CCUACGGGAGGCAGCAGUAGGGAAUCUUCCACACUGUGCGAAAGCCUGAUGGAGCAACGCCGCGUUGGUGAAGAAGGUCUUCGGAUCGUAAAACCCUGUUGUUAGAGAAGAAAGUGCGUGAGAGUAACUGUUCACGUUUCGACGGUAUCUAACCAGAAAGCCACGGCUAACUACGUGCCAGCAGCCUCGGUAAUACGUAGGUGGCAAGCGUUAUCCGGAUUUAUUUGGCGUAAAGGGAACGCCGGCGGUCUUUUAAGUCUGAUGUGAAAGCCUUCGGCUUAACCGGAGUAGUGCAUUGGAAACUGGGAGACUUGAGUGCAGAAGAGGAGAGUGGAACUCCAUGUGUAGCGGUGAAAUGCGUAGAUAUAUGGAAGAACACCAGUGGCGAAAGCGGCUCUCUGGUCUGUAACUGACGCUGAGGUUCGAAAGCGUGGGUAGCAAACAGGAUUAGAUACCCUUGUAGUC
Molecule: ribosomal RNA, 465 nt
Filed under: uncultured bacterium
Lineage: Bacteria
Description: partial 16S ribosomal RNA
Rfam family: Bacterial small subunit ribosomal RNA
Source: RNAcentral